Triticum dicoccoides is the source of this 2561-nucleotide long non-coding RNA. RefSeq lists it as uncharacterized. The record is from RefSeq and is a predicted model, not a curated record. The transcript has 13 exons. NCBI's taxonomy places the organism in Eukaryota, Viridiplantae, Streptophyta, Magnoliopsida, Poales, Poaceae.
ACUCGGUCGGUGACCAAUGAAGACGCCCGUGAAAAAACCUAGAUCGAGCAGUCAAAGGGAUCACGUCCUCCUCGUUCCAUCCACUCCCUCGCCUCCUUCUUCCUCCCCAUCCGGCGGCGCGUCCUUCCUCUUUCCCACGGCCUCCCGCAUCGUGCUGAGCCUCGCCGGCCGCUUCCCCCAGCCGGUGUCCCUCUCCAGAUGCAUCCUCCCCAAGAUUCGGGUACGGAGAGAGUCACGGUGGCAGGGGCAGAUGCGUGAGGACGAGGAGGCCAUGGUCAUGGUGGCGCGACGGAGGUCGUGGCUCGCCCCCCGCCGCCUCUCUCGUGCCCCCCUUUUCCCUACCCCCUUCCCGGCGUCCUUGCCUCUGCCAUGGCCUCCGCCCGAUUCCAGAUCGGCCGCAGGUCGAGGAGCGGUUGCUGUAGUGAGGGCAGCAGCGUGCAGAGGGGGAGAGGUCAAGGACGGUUGCCAGUUCAUGGAGGAGAGAUGCAACACAACGUUGAUUCCUACGCUGAGUUUUAGUGGUGGCAUGGUGUCCAUCUCCAGGCCGGUUGCAACCUUCUGCCCCCAUCAUUCCCUGUAUUUUUUUCAUAAUUUACACACUAAGUUGUAGAUUGGUCGGAUCUAUUGGCAUUAGGCAGCACAAGAAUAACAAUAGUUGUCAGCUUUUUCAUGUGCAGGUUCAGCAGCGGCAAUCCUCGAGAUAGAUUUAGGCCGAUCUGAAUAAACAGAGAUGAGCAGCAGCAGGGUUGGGUGCUCCAUUUGUAUGCGUUGCAUUGGUUAAUUUUGUUGUGCUCAUGUUUCUGUUUCAUGCUAUUGUCCACGAGUUCUACUUGUUGCUUAUUUCCAAUUAAGUAUUUAGUUCCAUAAUGCUCUGGCCAACCUAUUUUAUUGCAACAUUUGUGGUUCUUUUGUGCCAGAUUAGGUGUUUGUAUUUUUUUCCGAGUUCUUAUGGCAUACUUUCUUAAGAUUUUUAUUUGUGACACUUGCAGAAGUGCGGUUCAACAUUAGUUAGUAAUGCCCAGUAAGUUACUAAGGUGUUAUGUAACUGCAAUCCUUGAAAGCAGAGAUGAGAUAUCUAUCCAAUUCUACAUAUAUGGUUUAAAGUUCAUUGCGACAACCUUGCUCAUAUGUUUCGAUUACUACAGAGCAAGAGCGGCUGCUACUUCAGUGCCCAACUUUGAAGAAUGUACAUGCAUUUGGAUGCCAAGAUAUGUCGAUUGGUGCAAUUAGAACCCCAGGUGGCUAUGUUGUUGAUGGGGAUUAAUUAUUGUACUACCCGCAAGAAAAUAUUGUACUGACAUAUCUGAGAAUUUUAAUGAUCUAUCUGCAACCAGGUACCUGCCAUUCUCUGAUCCAUAUUCUAGAUGCUUCCAUUGCUACAACAUUCUCAAGCUAUAUUGCAAAGUUUGUUGCUUAUAUAGUUAUUACUAUUGGUCUAUAUGGUGUCGGCUGGAUGUGUGCCACCUGAAAGAUCUCAUUGUUUGUAACCAGGCAAUACAAACAUUCCAUUACUACCAGACAUGUCUUUCUUUGGAAUAUGAGGAGGGAGCUCUGUUGUUGUCAGUGGCUACAUCAUUUCGACCAGUGAUAUGGUUAAUCUUUGCGAUGUGGACCAAUGGCAUGAUCUGUACCUAAGGUUGGAGUUGCUGAAUUAGCUACUUCCUUUUGUGGAUGAUUAAUUAUUUGCAUGAAGGUUCAGAGAAUGGCCUCUAUUGCCUUACAGUCCAACUGAACACGUGAGAAAUUACUGAUGCGCAUGGAUGACAGCUUUCCCACGACGAAGCAAAAUUGCAGGACCUAUUAGGAUGCAUACCUGAAGGAGUGCAUCUACUGGCCCAGCUGAAAAUCGAUCUCUAUUUGGUUUAUGUAUUCUAUUUUUGCUCUCGGUUUUGUCUACCGCUCGUCCUUGGUAUGCUCAUCCAUCUUGCCUGCUUUGCUUGCCUCCUUCUCCUCUCCAAUUCAGGUUCUGCGAUCCCUUGUGUUGCUGCGUCCCGAUCUCCAGCUUUGUUGCAUCUCUGUUCUGCUCCUCGAGGUGCUCAACAGGAGAAGCACUCAAUAGGAGAAGCAGGAGCAGCGGAGCGUUAGCCUCGUUGCAGAUUUGGUUUAUCUAUGUCUGCAGGUUGUUUGAUAAAAAUCCAAAAAGGCUGACAUGGGUGCGUGGACAAACAGAUGCUAGGGGCAUUGUUUCACACAACACCUACACCAAUGACCACUGGACAAGUGACGCAAAGGGACUUGUGAACAACAUGAAAAACUUUCAGCCAUCUUUUGAUUACAUGGAAAUAUGCCUUUGAUGCAUCCGUGUUAUUAUUUACUGACCGACUGUGUUUAGCAACUUCAGUGUGUCGAUCAAAAUUACUACUCCCUCCAUCCGAAAAAGCUUGUCCCACGAAUGAUUGUAUGUAGCAUCAAGUGGUAGAUACAUCCAUUUGAGGAACAAGCUUUUCCGGAUCGAGGGAGUAUAUGAUGUAAUUGACCAAUAUCACUAAGAAGUGCUCCUGGACACAAAAUGCUCUAUAUUAUCAUGUCUUGAAUUUUCUAAUUGCAAACUCAAACAUUUG